GCUCAAGUAUAUACAGCAUAGGUGAUAUAAUCCCCACCUAGGAAUAGGAUGAUGCCAGGAAGUAGUAGAUGGAAAAAUAAAAGUAUAAACUGUUAUACUUUUAUUUUUCCAUCUACUACUUCCUGGCAUCAUCCUAUUCCUAGGUAGGGAUUAUACCACCCAUGCUGUAUAUACUUGAGCA
RNAcentral lists this small nucleolar RNA (181 nucleotides) under Pelobates cultripes (western spadefoot toad). The record is from RNAcentral. Lineage: Eukaryota; Metazoa; Chordata; Amphibia; Anura; Pelobatidae.